Molecule: long non-coding RNA, 99 nt
Organism: Maniola jurtina (meadow brown)
Lineage: Eukaryota; Metazoa; Arthropoda; Insecta; Lepidoptera; Nymphalidae
Exons: 3
Source: RefSeq, a predicted model, not a curated record
AUUUUCCGGGAUAAAAUAGUUGCCUAUGUCCUUCCCCGGGAUGCAAGCUAUCAAUGUACCACGUCAAAAUCGAUUCUACGGAUGGAUCGUGUAAAGCUA